RNA transcript from Panicum virgatum (switchgrass), 2951 nucleotides. It is a transcript of the gene named type IV inositol polyphosphate 5-phosphatase 11-like, with no coding region annotated. NCBI's taxonomy places the organism in Eukaryota, Viridiplantae, Streptophyta, Magnoliopsida, Poales, Poaceae. The transcript is spliced from 7 exons. The record is from RefSeq and is a predicted model, not a curated record.
CGAUCCACCUAACUCGCUACCUCGACCGUCCGAUGCGGCUCGGGCCGGGUCUGUCGCCCGUUAUUCCACGCAUCCGGGCACUCGGGAACCUUCGCGGACCCGCUCCGAGGCUAGCCUAUCCCCUCCACGGCCGCCGCCUGCGCCUCCCCACACCUGCCACGCCGGCGCAGCGGGCCCCAACGCUGGCCCUCGCCCACACUGUCGUCGUCUUCCACCGCGGCCGCGACGCUUUGCUUCGAGUUUCGCCGACGCAACGACAACCUCCCCCACCUCUCCUACUGCGUCCUCCUGUUUCUCGCCUGGGUCGCGGCCAUCCUCCCCAUCGUCGGUCGGCUCCUCGCGCUGGCGGCGGCCCGUGGCCGUGGACCCCCUUGCGGCCGCGCCUCCUCGCACCGGGUGGCCGAGGCCAGGGCAGCGCGCCACCUCCGGCCGGCCCCCAGCCACUGGCCACCGCGAGGGGAGGGGUCGCGCGCCGCCACCGGCCAGGAGAUAAAGGUGAUAGAGGGGGGGAGGUGCCUCGGUCAGGGGCCAGCCCCUCGCGGCAGCGGCCGAGGGACCCGCAGAGCUCGCGCCCCGUUCGCUGGCGUCGCCGCUCCGCGCCGCUUGCCCCUCCCUUGCCGCGGCGGGCGACGUUCCGUGGCAGCGCCUACCGCCUCCUCCCCGUGAAGCAAGCAGGCGACAUAGCACGGCUUCCCAGCCAGGCGGUGGCGCGGGGAUGGCUGGCUUGGCUUGGCGCGGCGGUCGGGGGCCCAACCUCCACGGAUUCAGAUCAAGAGGCCGAUGAUUGCAGAUACAACCGAUGCGAGCAGGCUCCUCCACACCUACCAUCUAGAGUCACGCCUAAGAGAAGAGCGGGAACAACGGAAUCGUUUUAUGCUUGUCUGAAUCUCACGAUCGAUUUCUACCUCCAGGCUGGGCAUGGUGGAUCUCUUCAGGCUGCUAUCUCCAUGCAGAGACGCCUCCUCGUCCUCAGUAACAUUGCUCGCCAAAUUAUUGAGGAUGUGGCUUGUGUUCACGCGAAUUUCCUGUUGCUUCUAUAUUAUUUUAGCAUCUGCUGGGGCGACAAGCCAGCACAGUGCGCAUUUGGUGGCCGCCAUGGCUCCUUUGGACGUGGCUUUGGAAGCCACCGGAGCAAAAGAAGAAGCCUUCUUGAUGCCAGCCCCUACUACAACAAGAAUUCCAGAAUAACAAGAAUUCCAGAUGUCUGAUUGUGCAGCAUCUCUAACUUACGAAAACGCUGCGAUUCCCGGGCCGUGGAGCGGGUCCACGUCGCUCGUAACCCGUUAACUGUCCGAUCCACCUAACUCGCUGCCUCGACCGUCCGAUGCGGCUCGGGCCGGGUCUGUCGCCCGUUAUUCCACGCAUCCGGGCACUCGGGAACCUUCGCGGACCCGCACCGAGGCCGGCCUAUCCCCUCCACGGCCGCCGCCUGCCGCUCGCCGCUCUCCCCCACCGGCUGGCCAAGGCCCCCCUGUGGCUGGCUCCUUGCGGCGACGGCCGAGGAACACGCGGCCGACUCCUCCAGCAAAAAAGCAGCGAGCGCGAGGGGAGGCCCCGCCGUAGCUGACUCCUCGUGUCGGCGGCCCACGGCCACGCCACCGGCGGCUCCUCCAGCAGAGCGGCAGCAAGGUUGGGGGAGGGGACGCAGUCUCCCCUGCCUUUUUCUCUUGCCCAGAUCUUCGUAAGGAACUCCGAAGGAACACCGUCGCAAGCUCUUCGCUGGGAGCCUGGUACCCAACCACCGCAAAUUGUCCAGGAAGCCAAAAGAACAACCUAUCCCAAAUUAAAAAGAAAUAAUAGUUAACAGGUAUGUAACAUAAACAAGUUUGUUCUUGAUGCAUCAUGAAAAGAUAAACUGUUGAAUUACUAUCGGUAAUCGUGUUCGUGCUGUCAUUCAACUCAAACAGGACAGAUGAAACAUAACUUCCAAACACUCGAACUCGAAGUAGUAUGCAAUAGUCAACUUUGAUCUUAUCUUACUUGUGCCUUCUGUUGUAUGUUCCCUGCCACUCUUACCUCAGGCUAGGAAUAGUUAAAGCUAUCGAGGAAUUUAAGACUUCAGUCUAUGUUGAAAAUUAUGACCAAGAGGAGGCUGAAUUUCACAAGCCAACAACAUCUUUAUCAUACUUUUAAGUUUUAAGCACUUAUUCUUUUAGUUAGAUGCAUCCAUUACCAACUCUAGAUGAUUCAUUGCCUCUGGUAUAAUGGCUCAUACCCUAUUGGAUGAGGCUCACCACCUACCAUGAUCAUUGAAGUUGUCUAAAGCAUGUUGUUCAGUUAUGUGCUUAUCAAAAUCUUUGUAAGAUAUCUUUCCUAUAUCCAGCAAUGAAAUGUUUGCGUAGUAGUAUCUGACACUAAGAAGACAAGUCUUUUGACAGUAUAUUUACGUUCCUGGAAUUGUCUUUGCAAGAGGACCUGCAUUGCUGUGUUGAUUCUACUGAGCAGGUUAGAGUUAUUGUAAAUUUUGUUUGGAACCUCCAACUGGAAUGCUAGAUGAUGAAAAAGGUGAUUUUGUUGGCACCGCAGUCUGUGAGCUUCUAUUCCAGAAAAGAAUUGUCCGAGUAGGCUGGGUAACUCAGUUUUGCCGGAGAUUAGGCAGCAUUGAGUAGGUAAUCUUUAUUUGGAAUCUUACAUGAGCAUAAUUUAGUCCUCUUGAGAGGCUAGCCCUGCAAGAUUGGUGCGCAGGGACAAGGCAAUGCUGUGGUGCAGCACGUCAAGGAAAGGGGCUAUGCUCGCCACCAGCGAGGAGGCUCAGGUUCAAUGACAAUUUCCCCUGCGCGAGCCAUGCCAGGAAGAUAUUUGUAGAUAGGGAUAAAAGAGAUUUAUAUAUGACAACUGUAUGCACAUUUCGUAGUAAUGAAUUUUGUUCUCUGUUGGACUCUUCAGUUUCAUACAGUAUUGGUGGUCAACAAGAUAUAUGUUGUUAGUAACAUAGCUGUUGUUUGAACAAA